Molecule: transfer RNA, 86 nt
Filed under: Verrucomicrobiota bacterium
Lineage: Bacteria; Pseudomonadati; Verrucomicrobiota
Also listed under: 1 other name
Description: tRNA-Tyr
Rfam family: tRNA
About the family: Transfer RNA (tRNA) molecules are approximately 80 nucleotides in length. Their secondary structure includes four short double-helical elements and three loops (D, anti-codon, and T loops).
Source: RNAcentral
GGUAGGAUAUCCAAGUGGCUAAAGGGUGCAGACUGUAAAUCUGUCGUCUCACGACUUCGCCGGUUCGAAUCCGGCUCCUACCACCA